This 506-nucleotide ribosomal RNA is filed under the name uncultured bacterium. Its description in RNAcentral is "partial 16S ribosomal RNA". It matches the Rfam family "Bacterial small subunit ribosomal RNA", at positions 30 to 523 of the family's 1533-position model. The record is from RNAcentral.
AUUGAACACUGGCGGCAUGCCUUACACAUGCAAGUCGAACGGCAGCAUGAUCUAGCUUGCUAGAUUGAUGGCGAGUGGCGAACGGGUGAGUAAUACAUCGGAACGUGCCCUGUAGUGGGGGAUAACUAGUCGACAGAUUAGCUAAUACCGCAUACGACCUGAGGGUGAAAGUGGGGGACCGCAAGGCCUCAUGCUAUAGGAGCGGCCGAUGUCUGAUUAGCUAGUUGGUGAGGUAAAGGCUCACCAAGGCGACGAUCAGUAGCUGGUCUGAGAGGACGAUCAGCCACACUGGGACUGAGACACGGCCCAGACUCCUACGGGAGGCAGCAGUGGGGAAUUUUGGACAAUGGGGGCAACCCUGAUCCAGCAAUGCCGCGUGUGUGAAGAAGGCCUUCGGGUUGUAAAGCACUUUUGUCCGGAAAGAAAUCGCACUUACUAAUAUUAGGUGUGGAUGACGGUACCGGAAGAAUAAGGACCGGCUAACUACGUGCCAGCCGCCGCGGUAA